This 1162-nucleotide ribosomal RNA is filed under the name metagenome. RNAcentral's name for it is "bacterial SSU rRNA". It matches the Rfam family "Bacterial small subunit ribosomal RNA", at positions 330 to 1521 of the family's 1533-position model. The record is from RNAcentral.
GCCAGACACCUACGGGUGGCAGCAGUAGGGAAUAUUGCACAAUGGGCGAAAGCCUGAUGCAGCAACGCCGCGUGCGCGAUGAAGGCCUUCGGGUCGUAAAGCGCUUUUCGGGGAGAUGAGGAAGGACAGUAUCCCCGGAAUAAGGUUCGGCUAACUACGUGCCAGCAGCCGCGGUAAAACGUAGGAACCGAGCGUUAUCCGAGUUUACUGGGCGUAAAGCGUGUGUAGGCGGUUCGGUAAGUUGGAUGUAAAAUCUCCUGGCUCAACUGGGAGAGGUCGUUCAAUACUGUCGAACUUGAGGGUGGUAGAGGGAGGUGGAAUUCCCGGUGUAGUGGUGAAAUGCGUAGAUAUCGGGAGGAGCACCAGUGGCGAAAGCGGCCUCCUGGACCAUUCCUGACGCUCAGACACGAAAGCUAGGGGAGCAAACGGGAUUAGAAACCCCGGUAGUCCUAGCUGUAAACGAUGUUGACUUGGCGUUGGUGGGGUAAAAGCCAUCAGUGCCGUAGCUAACGCGAUAAGUCAACCGCCUGGGGGCUACGGCCGCAAGGUUAAAACUCAAAGGAAUUGACGGGGGCCCGCACAAGCAGCGGAGCGUGUGGUUUAAUUCGAUGCUACGCGAAGAACCUUACCCGGGUUUGACAUAUAGGUAGUAGGGAUCUGAAAGGUGACCGACCCUUCGGGGAGCCUAUACAGGUGCUGCAUGGCUGUCGUCAGCUCGUGUCGUGAGAUGUCCGGUUAAGUCCGGUAACGAGCGCAACCCUCGCCAUAUGUUACAUGUGUCAUAUGGUACUGCCGGUAUAAAGCCGGAGGAAGGUGGGGAUGACGUCAAGUCAGCAUGGCCUUUAUGUCCGGGGCUACACACACGCUACAAUGGCCAGUACAAUGGGUUGCAAAACCGCGAGGCGGAGCCAAUCCCCAAAGCUGGUCUCAGUUCAGAUUGUAGGCUGUAACUCGCCUACAUGAAGGCGGAGCUGCUAGUAACCGCAGGACAGCUAUACUGCGGUGAAUACGUUCCCGGGCCUUGUACACACCGCCCGUCACGUCAUGGGAGCUGGCAACACCUGAAGCCGGUAUCCUAACCGUAAGGAGGGAGCCGUCGAAGGUGGGGCUGGUGACUGGGACGAAGUCGUAACAAGGUAGGUGUACCGGAAGGUGCGCCUGG